AUGGCUUCCACCGCUCUCUCCUCGGCCCUCUCCCUCCUCCACGCCAAGCCCGCCACCACCUCCCUGCCCCGGCCACACCCAUUCUUCCCCAUCCACGGUCACCGCCCCUCCGUCGCCGUCGCUUGCACCUCAACCGCCGCGGCCUCCCCGAAGGUGCUGGAGCUGGGGGACGCCAUCGCGGGGCUGACCCUGGAGGAGGCGCGCGGGCUGGUGGACCACCUGCAGGAGCGCCUGGGCGUGUCGGCGGCCGCGUUCGCGCCCGCCGCCGCCGUGGCCGCCCCGUCCGGACCGGCGGCCGAGGCCGAGGCGCCCGCGGAGCAGACGGAGUUCGACGUGGUGAUCGAGGAGGUGCCGAGCAGCGCCCGCAUCGCGACCAUCAAGGUGGUGCGCGCGCUGACCAACCUGGCGCUCAAGGACGCCAAGGACCUCAUCGAGGGCCUCCCCAAGAAGCUCAAGGAGGCCGUCGGCAAGGACGAGGCCGAGGACGCCAAGAAGCAGCUCGAGGCCGUCGGCGCCAAGGUCACCGUCGCCUGA
RNAcentral lists this ribosomal RNA (534 nucleotides) under Triticum aestivum (bread wheat). Its description in RNAcentral is "partial small subunit ribosomal RNA". Lineage: Eukaryota; Viridiplantae; Streptophyta; Magnoliopsida; Poales; Poaceae. The record is from RNAcentral.